RNAcentral lists this ribosomal RNA (800 nucleotides) under Pseudomonas sp. Loihi-Chm(16S)-7. Its description in RNAcentral is "bacterial SSU rRNA". It matches the Rfam family "Bacterial small subunit ribosomal RNA", at positions 8 to 805 of the family's 1533-position model. The record is from RNAcentral. Lineage: Bacteria; Pseudomonadati; Pseudomonadota; Gammaproteobacteria; Pseudomonadales; Pseudomonadaceae.
AGAGUUUGAUCCUGGCUAGAUUAUUGAACGCUGGCGAGCACGCCUAUCACUUAGCAAUUCGAGCGGAGUAGUGAGAGCUUGCUCCAUGAUUCAUCGGCGGACGGGUGAGUAAUGCCUGUGAAUCUGCCGAUUAGUGAGGGACUACGUGUCGAAAUAGAUCGCUGAUACCGCAUACGUCCUACAGGAGACAGCAUGGGACCUUCGGGCCUUACGCUGAUAAAUAAGCGUAGGUCGGAUUAGCUACUUCGUCACGUGUUGGCUCUCCAAGGCAAGAUCCGUAUCUGGUCUGAGAAGAUGAUCACUCACCGGCGAACUGAAACUCAGUCCAUACUCCUACGGGAGGCAGCAGUGGGGAAUAUUGGACAUGAGGGCAACCUGAUCACCCAUGCCGCGUGUGUGAAGAAGGCUUUCAGGUUGUAAAGCACUUUCAGUGAGGAGGACAACCUUAAGUUUAAUACGCUUGAGGCUUGACGUUACUCACAGAAGAAACACCGGCUAACUCCGUGCCAGCAGCCGCGGUAAUACAGAGGGUGCAUGCGUUAAGCGGAAUUACUGGGCGUAGUCACGCGUAGGUGGUUUGUACUCGAGAUGUGAGACCCCGGGCUCAACCUGGGGAACGGCAUUUCGAACUGUCAGGCUAAAUUAUAGUAGAGGACUGUGGAUUUCCUGUGUACCGGUGAAAUGCCUAAAUAUAGGAAUGAACACCCUUGCGAAUGCGGCACUCUAGACCAUUACUGACUCUGAAGUGCCAAGCUUGGGGACCAAACAGGAUCAAAUACCCUGGUUAUUCCAGCCUGUUA